Molecule: ribosomal RNA, 497 nt
Filed under: uncultured bacterium
Lineage: Bacteria
Description: partial 16S ribosomal RNA
Rfam family: Bacterial small subunit ribosomal RNA
Source: RNAcentral
GAUGAACGCUGGCGGCGUGCCUAAUACAUGCAAGUCGAGCGAACAGAUGAGGAGCUUGCUCCUCUGACGUUAGCGGCGGACGGGUGAGUAACACGUGGAUAACCUACCUAUAAGACUGGGAUAACUUCGGGAAACCGGAGCUAAUACCGGAUAAUAUAUUGAACCGCAUGGUUCAAUAGUGAAAGACGGUUUUGCUGUCACUUAUAGAUGGAUCCGCGCCGCAUUAGCUAGUUGGUAAGGUAACGGCUUACCAAGGCAACGAUGCGUAGCCGACCUGAGAGGGGGAUCGGCCACACGGGAACUGAGACACGGUCCAGACUCCUACGGGAGGCAGCAGUAGGGAAUCGGCCGCAAUGGGCGAAAGCCUGACGGAGCAACGCCGCGUGAGUGAUGAAGGUCUUCGGAUCGUAAAACUCUGUUAUUAGGGAAGAACAAAUGUGUAAGUAACUAUGCACGUCUUGACGGUACCUAAUCAGAAAGCCACGGCUAACUACGUG